RNAcentral lists this small RNA (3393 nucleotides) under Pan troglodytes (chimpanzee). RNAcentral describes it as "retained intron". The record is from RNAcentral. Lineage: Eukaryota; Metazoa; Chordata; Mammalia; Primates; Hominidae.
CAAUAUCGGACCUGACAACUUCUCUCCAGGAAAAAGAGAGAGCCAUCGAGGCUACCAAUGCAGAGAUCACAAAGCUCCGCUCCCGGGUGGACUUGAAAUUGCAGGAGCUGCAACACUUGAAAAAUGAAGGGGAUCAUCUCAGAAAUGUGCAGACAGAAUGCGAGGCCCUGAGACUGCAGAUGACAGAGAAGGACAAGGUGAUCGAGAUUCUGCGACAGCAGAUUGAGAACAUGACACAGCUGGUGGGCCAGCAUGGACGAACUGCUGGAGCUAUGCAAGUAGAAAAAGCUCAACUGGAGAAAGAAAUCAAUGAUAGGCGGAUGGAACUAAAGGAACUUAAGAUAUUAAAAGAUAAAAAAGAUGCAAAGAUCCGGGAGCUUGAGGCCAGAGUGAGUGACUUGGAGCUGGAAAAGGUGAAGCUGGUGAAUGCAGGCUCUGAGCGGCUCCGUGCAGUGAAGGACAUCAAACAAGAGAGAGACCAAUUAUUAAAUGAGGUGAAAACAAGUAGGAGUGAAUUAAACAAUCUUUCAGAGGAGUAUGAAGUCUUAAAAAGGAAUUUCCGAAACAAAAGUGAAGAAAUGGAAAUGACUACAAAUAAGUUGAAAAUGCAAUUAAAAUCUGCACAGUCUGAACUAGAACAGACAAGAAAUACAUUAAAGUCAAUGGAAGGAUCUGAUGGUCAUGCUAUGAAAGUGGCAAUGGGGAUGCAAAAGCAAAUCACAGCCAAAAGAGGUCAGAUAGAUGCCCUUCAGAGCAAGAUACAGUUUUUGGAAGAGGCAAUGACAAAUGCAAAUAAGGAGAAACAUUUUCUGAAAGAAGAGAAAAGUAAACUCAGUCAGGAAUUGAGUACUGUUGCCACAGAAAAAAACAAGAUGGCUGGGGAGUUGGAAGUUCUGCGAUCUCAGGAACGCCGUUUGAAAGAAAAGGUUACUAAUAUGGAAGUUGCUCUGGAUAAGGUAAUUAUUAACUAAACAUAUGAAGUAAUUAUCAACUAAAUAGUUUUUAACCAAAUAGAAUUGUUCUGAACAAAAGCUCUAUGUAGACAGGAACUGAAUGUAUCAAUUUGUGUUGUAUCCCAAUCACCUAGCACAAAGGAAAACCCUAUCCUAUUAGAGAAGGCGUUUCUGAAUUUUAAAAUGUGGUCAUAAUGCAUACUUUUUGCCAAGUUUUCUUUUUCAGGCUAACAUAGUCACAGGAGCAGUAAGAUCAAAGAUGUAAGAUGUUCCUGAUAUCCAUAGUGACAUGAAUAAGUAAAAAGGUCUCCAUGAGCACCUGAUUUACCACCAAAAAGUGACUUGGGUACUUGGUAGAAUACAGUCUCUUAAUAAUGUCAAUAAAAUGAUAAAGUAAUGCUAAUGGCUGGCACUUUGUGGGGUCCAGAAAGUGCAUGUAGGAAACAUAGCUUAAAGAAUGAGAAGGAUCAGUGAUACUUUUUGUCAUUGCCGUUUAUUGUAGAGAAAUAAAUCUCCCUUCCUGUCACCUAGAAACUCUGGAAGCCUAAAAUUGUACCAAAACCAUCCUUGAUUGCUAAGAAAACAGUGCCUUUAUGGUUAGAUACAAUAAUCUGGGAUCUCAUCUCUGCUACCUUUGUUUCUUAAAACAUGCUAUAUUGACUCUGUGAAUUUCAGUUGUGGUUAUUUUUUAAAUUUUAUUUUAUUUUAUUUUAUUUUUUUGAGACGGAGUCUCGCUCUGUCGCCAGGCUGGAGUGCAGUGGCACGAUCUCGGCUCACUGCAACCUCCGCCUCCCGGGUUCAAACGAUUCUCCUGCGUCAGCCUCCCGAGUAGCUGGGACUACAGUUGUGCACCACCAUGCCCAGUUAAUUUUUGUAUUUUUAGUAGAGACGGGGUUUCGCCAUGUUGGCCAGGAUGGAUGGUCUCCAUCUCUUGACCUCGUGAUCCGCCCGCCUCGGCCUCCCAAAGUGCUGGGAUUACAGAUGUGAGCCACCAUGCCCAGCCAGUUAUGGUUAUUUUAAUAUAAAUUUUUAUACUUUGGUAAAGCUGUUUGCUCAUUCCAUCCUUAGUUCAUUCAUUGUUUGCCCUUCACAUACUAAAAGCUACGUAUUUGCUGGGGGUAUAGAGGAUAAAAACAUGGCCUCCAGUUGCUCACAGUUCACUAAAUAAAACAGAUAAAUAGAUCAUUGUAAUAUAGUUUGGUAGAAGGGCAGGAAGAUUUUUUGAAGAGAUGGCAGCUCUGCAUUCAUAGGUUAAUAAAAUAUAAGUGCAUAAAGAAUGCAAGAUAAACCAUUUAUGAUUGCUCCAUCUGUAGGCAUCUUUGCAGUUUGCAGAAUGUCAAGAUAUAAUACAGCGUCAGGAGCAAGAAUCAGUGCGCUUAAAACUUCAACACACGUUGGAUAUAAAAGAACUUCAGGGCCCUGGAUACACCUCAAAUUCUUCAUUGAAACCACGCCUUCUCCAGCCAGCAUCUGUUACUCGUUCUCAUUCUAAUGUACCAUCUUCGCAGUCUACAGCCAGCUUCCUGUCUCAUCACUCUACAAAAGCUAACACACUGAAGGAAGAUCCAACAAGGGACCUGAAACAGCUUCUCCAAGAGUUGAGAAGCAUGAUCAAUGAGGAGCCAGCUGUGUCUCUGAGCAAGACAGAGGAAGAUGGAAGAACAUCUCUGGGAGCCUUGUAUGUGGCUGUGUAAGGCUGUGUGCACACAGAAUGGGAAAGCUCAUCUCUUGAAUGAGAGGAUAGGGUAAGAGAUUGCAUUACUGAAUCCAGCCUGAGAUCAGACAUGUGCCAUAGAAGCAACAACUCGUUGAGGGACUCCACUGAAGGAAGCAAAUCAAGUGAAACUCUUAGUAGAGAGCCAGUCACAUUACACGCAGGAGACAUGGAAGAUCCCUCUGGUUGCUUCACAUUCACAUCUGCAGCAAGUCCAUCUGUGAAAAACUCAGCUUCUCGUUCAUUCAAUUCUUCUCCUAAGAAGUCUCCAGUGCACUCACUCCUAACUAGUUCAGUUGAAGGUUCAAUAGGUUCCACAUCACAAUAUAGAUCUGCCAAACCUAUUCAUUCAUCUGAUUCUGUUAAAGAUUCACAGUCUCCGCCAAUAGAAACAACAGGAAAAACAUGCAGGAAGCUUCAGAACAGACUAGAAAGCUUGCAAACUCUGGUAGAAGAUUUACAGCUGAAGAACCAAGCAAUGUCUUCAAUGAUCAGAAAUCAAGAAAAGAGGAUACAGAAAGUAAAAGACCAGGAAAAAAUGUUACUAAAAUGACUCGUUGCUUGCCUAUUCUUUACAGAGGAAUGAGGCCCAAUUAAUUGUGGUGUUACUUGUAAUUAGUGCCCUGUGUACUUUUUCUUUUUAUGUGAAAAUUUAAUAAAAGAUACCCUGUCUUGUAAACUCUAUUUUGAAAUAAACUAUUCUUGAAUCCCUCACAGUAAAACUUC